CCAGAAGCCCCUCUUGUAGUGAAGAAGGGAGGGCGAUGGGAAGAAAAGCCGACUACAGGAGAUUAGGGUGAAGGGAUGGCAAUGGUGAAAAAGAAAAGACUCUCAAAAAGGCAGCAGGGCGAAAGUGCCAAGAAUGAAGAAGAACCCUAUUAAAUAAAAGGGCGCACGGCCUUUAGGAGAUUUCAAAUCGAUACGGAUUUCUAGCAUAUGCUACGCAUUAGCGCCCUAUUUGUUAUAGGCAUAUCAUCAGUUUCAACAUUAAAUGCACCACAACAAGAUGAAGAUGGCGUCUGCAUGGGUUUCAAAAUGAGCUCAUGAUUAUAUCAUCGUCAUCUUCACCUGCAAAAUCAUGCACAGUCAUCUAUUUGAAAAAUCUCUUCACAUCCCCU
RNAcentral lists this long non-coding RNA (389 nucleotides) under Elaeis guineensis (African oil palm). Its description in RNAcentral is "long non-coding RNA (EGUI_LNC045586)". Lineage: Eukaryota; Viridiplantae; Streptophyta; Magnoliopsida; Arecales; Arecaceae. The record is from RNAcentral.